UACGGAGGGUGCAAGCGUUGUCCGGAAUUAUUGGGCGUAAAGAGCGCGCAGGCGGUUUGGGAAGUUGGACGUGAAAUUUUAGGGCUUAACCUUAAAGGGUCGUCCAAAACUCCCAGACUAGAGUGCAGGAGAGGAAAGCGGAAUUCCCGGUGUAGUGGUGAAAUGCGUAGAUAUCGGGAGGAACACCAGAGGCGAAGGCGGCUUUCUGGCCUGUAACUGACGCUGAGGCGCGAAGGCUGGGGUAGCGAACAGG
Molecule: ribosomal RNA, 253 nt
Filed under: uncultured bacterium
Lineage: Bacteria
Description: partial 16S ribosomal RNA
Rfam family: Bacterial small subunit ribosomal RNA
Source: RNAcentral